Molecule: unclassified non-coding RNA, 378 nt
Filed under: soil metagenome
Description: partial contains 5.8S ribosomal RNA, internal transcribed spacer 2, and large subunit ribosomal RNA
Rfam family: 5.8S ribosomal RNA (bases 1-120)
Source: RNAcentral
GAUGAAGAACGUAGCGAAAUGCGAUAAGUAAUGUGAAUUGCAGAAUUCAGUGAAUCAUCGAAUCUUUGAACGCACCUUGCGCUCCUUGGUAUUCCGAGGAGCAUGCCUGUUUGAGUGUCAUUAAAUUCUCAACCUCACCAACUUUGUUGUGUGCAGGCUUGGAUGUGGGGGUUGCAGGUCCACUCUCGUGGUCUGCUCCUCUGAAAUGUAUUAGUGGGUUGUGCCCCUAAUCUAUUGGUGUGAUAAUUAUCUACGCCGUGGAUUGGGUUGGUUACUUGAAGACCUGCUUCUAACCGUCCCUUGGACAACUUUUGACAAUUUUGACCUCAAAUCAGGCAAGACUACCCGCUGAACUUAAGCAUAUCAAUAAGCGGAAGA